Molecule: ribosomal RNA, 311 nt
Filed under: uncultured eukaryote
Lineage: Eukaryota
Description: partial 18S ribosomal RNA
Rfam family: Eukaryotic small subunit ribosomal RNA
Source: RNAcentral
CCCCUAGACGUUCUGGGCUGCACGCGCGCUACAAUAAUACGCACAGCGAGUAUCACCGAGCUCGAAAGGGCAAGGUAAACAAUAGAAAAGGUACUGUAAUGGUUAUAGAUCCUUGUAAUUAUUGAUCUUCAACGAGGAAUUCCUAGUAAGUGUGUGUCAUCAUCACGCACUGAUUACGUCCCUGCCCUUUGUACACACCGCCCGUCGCUCCUACCGAUUGGGUGAGCCGAUGAAACUCUCGGAUGUAGGCUAUUCAUAGCCCGCAGAAGAGAUUUGAAUCGUAGCGCUUAGAGGAAGGAGAAGUCGUAACA